CAGGUGCUGCAUGGCUGUCGUCAGCUCGUGUCGUGAGAUGUUGGGUUAAGUCCCGCAACGAGCGCAACCCUUGUCUUUAGUUGCUACGCAAGAGCACUCUAAAGAGACUGCCGGUGACAAACCGGAGGAAGGUGGGGAUGACGUCAAGUCCUCAUGGCCCUUAUGGGUAGGGCUUCACACGUCAUACAAUGGUGCAUACAGAGGGUUGCCAACCCGCGAGGGGGAGCUAAUCUCAGAAAAUGCAUCGUAGUCCGGAUCGUAGUCUGCAACUCGACUACGUGAAGCUGGAAUCGCUAGUAAUCGCGGAUCAGAAUGUCGCGGUGAAUACGUUCCC
RNAcentral lists this ribosomal RNA (334 nucleotides) under uncultured beta proteobacterium. RNAcentral's name for it is "bacterial SSU rRNA". It matches the Rfam family "Bacterial small subunit ribosomal RNA", at positions 1035 to 1375 of the family's 1533-position model. Lineage: Bacteria; Pseudomonadati; Pseudomonadota; Betaproteobacteria. The record is from RNAcentral.